This 300-nucleotide ribosomal RNA is filed under the name Gracilaria damaecornis. RNAcentral's name for it is "bacterial LSU rRNA". It matches the Rfam family "Bacterial large subunit ribosomal RNA", at positions 2134 to 2431 of the family's 2925-position model. Lineage: Eukaryota; Rhodophyta; Florideophyceae; Gracilariales; Gracilariaceae. The record is from RNAcentral. RNAcentral also lists the same sequence under 1 other name.
UUGCGCAGUAUAGGUGGGAGGCAAAGAAGAUAUGUUUGCGGAUGUAUAUGAGCCAUUAGUGAGAUACCACUCUGAUUAAACUAGAAUUCUAAUAUUGAUUGCCAUAAGCUGGCCAAUAGACAGUUUCAGGUGGGCAGUUUGACUGGGGCGGUCGCCUCCUAAAAGGUAACGGAGGCGUGCAAAGGUUUCCUCAGGCUGGUCGGAAAUCAGUCGUAGAGUAUAAAGGCAUAAGGAAGCUUGACUGCAAGACCUACAAGUCGAGCAGAGACGAAAGUCGGCCUUAGUGAUCCGACAGUGCUG